UCCUUUCUAUUAGUAAGACAAAUGGGACAUACCUGAUCAUCAUAAGUAGAACUUGAAUAAGGAGUUGUGUUGACUGGAGUAUCAUAUUCAGAAUAUUGGGAGUCAUAUCCAGAAUAAGAAGGUAAUGAUGAAUCAUAUCCAGAAACUGGUGACUCAGAUCCAGAAAAAGAAGGUGCCCGUAGAUGAAAGCGGUUUGAGCUUGAAGGUGUUCCACUGUUGCUGAAAGAAGAUGGUCCAUGA
This 240-nucleotide unclassified non-coding RNA is filed under the name Hevea brasiliensis (rubber tree). The record is from RNAcentral. Lineage: Eukaryota; Viridiplantae; Streptophyta; Magnoliopsida; Malpighiales; Euphorbiaceae.